Molecule: transfer RNA, 90 nt
Filed under: Pedobacter psychrophilus
Lineage: Bacteria; Pseudomonadati; Bacteroidota; Sphingobacteriia; Sphingobacteriales; Sphingobacteriaceae
Description: tRNA-Ser
Rfam family: tRNA
About the family: Transfer RNA (tRNA) molecules are approximately 80 nucleotides in length. Their secondary structure includes four short double-helical elements and three loops (D, anti-codon, and T loops).
Source: RNAcentral
GGAGAGAUGUCAGAGUGGUCGAAUGAGCCAGCUUGGAAAGCUGGUGUACUGGCAACGGUACCGAGGGUUCGAAUCCCUCUUUCUCCGCAA